AUGGGAGGAGAAUCAUUUUCCUCAGGGCAGGUUAAGCUUUUUGCAGCCGUGCUUCUACUACAACUAUGUUAUGCAGGUUACAAUAUAGCUGCUAAGGUUGCACUCGACAAGGGCAUCGGCCAAUUUGUCUUUCCAGUGUAUAGGAAUGUUAUCGGUUUCUCGUUGCUAGCUCCAUUUGCAUACUUUCUCGAGAAGGAAGACCGACCAUCUUUAUCUCUUUCUUUGCUGUUUCAAUUCUUCCUUCUUGCAUCCUUUGGGAUUACAAUCCCUCAAGUAUGUUUCCUCAUCGGCUUACGCUAUGUGCCCACAACUUAUGCCGCUGCGAUCCAGAAUUUGGGCCCGGCACUCACAUUUGCCAUGGCUGCAGCUCUCGGGCUUGAGCAAGUCCACAUCGCAAAGAGAUACGGGUUAGCAAAGGUGCUCAGCACGGUUACUAGCAUAGGAGGUGCCACUGUCGUCACUCUAUACAAGGGUCAUCCCCUGCUGCCUCACCCUCUUUCGACAAAUGUUUUAGCCACUCCCAUAAUUUCAAACUCUAUACUACACUGGGCACUGGGUUGUGCCUACAUACUUGGAAGUUGCAUUAUAUGGUCUGCCUGGAUGGUGCUUCAGGUUCCAGUGGUGAAGAAGUACCCAGCUAAGCUCUCAUUUAGUGCCUUCAUCUGCUUCUUCGGGUUUCUGCAAUGCCUUGUCGUAGCAUGCAUUUCUGAAACUGACAGCGAGAAGUGGAAAGUGCAUUCAGUAGAACAGCUCUGUGCAAUUCUCUAUUCAGGGCUUGUCAUGUCGGGCGUUGCCAUUGCUCUUCAGAUAUGGUGCAUAGAUAAAGGGGGUCCUCUUUUCACUGCUGUCUUCGGGCCAGUGCAUAUUGUGGCUGUGGCCAUAGUGUCGGUUCUCAUCUUCGACGAUCGAUUAUUCUUGGGAGGGGUUGUUGGAUCAGUUCUCAUAGUGUUUGGGCUGUACUUGGUUUUAUGGGGCAAAAAGGAGGAGAAAGUUUCGAAUCAGGCCAUGAGCCAAGGGCUACAGAGGCACCUCCUCCAAACCGACCCAUGCGAGUAGGAACUCACAAGACAAGCUAUCGACUAUUCAAGUGCGAAGUGAAUCGGGCGGUGUUGAAUCCCGAGUCCCCGAGCACCAGAUAAUAAUUCAAGGGUCGCUCUCCCAGAUAUGGGCGGACACCUAAGCCCAUACAGUGGUCAUGCCUUCGGGGGUGCUCGCGGAUAGCCAUACCCAGAUAUCUACUGGGCAUGAAGUUAAGCAGCUACGUGUGCCAAACGACCAACCAUCUAUUUCCUAGGCGCAGCUGGAGUAGAUGAAUAUUGAAAUGGUGCAACUAAGGGUCGAUCUGGAUAAGAGCGCCGAGCUGCUGGAGACAGAGAAAGGCAAGAGCGCCAAGCAAGCAACACAACUGGCUUAUCUCCAUAAAUAGGCUAACACCUUCGAAGCCAAAAUUCAUUCGGCCAAUACUACAAAAAUCCGGACUAUAUUGAAGAUCUGGAGAUAAAAAAUAAGGAGUUUCGGGUGUUGGCCCAGAAUUUGAAGGAGGCCGAAGUGGCGUUGAAGUCCGAGUGAGAUGGACGAUCAGCCGAGCAGACUGCAGGAAAGGCCCAGCUUAACGCCAAGGAUGAAGAGUUGACCAAGCUGAAGGAAGAGCUGGAGGCCUCCCGAGCGGCCCUAGAGACUUAUAAAGGAGUAGAGUCAAGUAGGUUUGAUCUCAUGAAGCAAGCCUACAUCCGUUCGGAUGCUUUUAACAACAAAGUCACCGAUCGAGCUCUUCGUCUGUUCGACCUGGCGAUUGAAGGGGCAUUCGGCCAACUCAGGGAAGGUGGCUACCUCCCCGCCGCUCUAUCAAGUCAGAUCAUCAGUCAAGACAAGCUGACUGUAUCGCUGCCUGACGAUGUAUUAGAUUAUCUGGAGUGAGCCAGUUGAGAGUGACCUCUGUAAAUUUUGA
This is an RNA transcript of Zingiber officinale, 1948 nucleotides long. It is a transcript of the gene named auxin-induced protein 5NG4-like, with no coding region annotated. The record is from RefSeq and is a predicted model, not a curated record. The transcript has 9 exons. Lineage: Eukaryota; Viridiplantae; Streptophyta; Magnoliopsida; Zingiberales; Zingiberaceae.